ACUCCUACGGGAGGCAGCAGUGGGGAAUAUUGCGCAAUGGGGGAAAGCCCUGACGCAGCAACGCCGCGUGAAUGAAGAAGGCCUUAGGGUUGUAAAGUUCUGUUUUCUGGGGACGAUAAUGACGGGUACCAGAGGAGGAAGCCACGGCUAACUACGUGCCAGCAGCCGCGGUAAUACGUAGGUGGCAAGCGUUGUCCGGAUUUACUGGGCGUAAAGGAUGCGUAGGCGGAUGUUUAAGUGAGAUGUGAAAUACCCGAGCUCAACUUGGGUGCUG
This 274-nucleotide ribosomal RNA is filed under the name uncultured bacterium. RNAcentral's name for it is "partial 16S ribosomal RNA". It matches the Rfam family "Bacterial small subunit ribosomal RNA", at positions 335 to 623 of the family's 1533-position model. The record is from RNAcentral.